ACGGGAGGCAGCAGUGGGGAAUCUUCCGCAAUGGGCGAAAGCCUGACGGAGCAACGCCGCGUGAGUGAAGAAGGUCUUCGGAUCGUAAAGCUCUGUUGAGAGGGACGAGAGAUUACUUCAGGAAAUGGGAGUAAGAGGACGGUACCUUUCGAGGAAGCCACGGCUAACUACGUGCCAGCAGCCGCGGUAAUACGUAGGUGGCGAGCGUUGUCCGGAAUUAUUGGGCGUAAAGGGAGCGCAGGUGGGACUUCAAGUCAGCCUUAAAAGUGCGGGGCUCAACCCCGUGAUGGGAUUGAAACUGUAGUUCUUGAGUGCAGGAGAGGAAAGCGGAAUUCCUAGUGUAGCGGUGAAAUGCGUAGAUAUUAGGAGGAACAUCGGUGGCGAAGGCGGCUUACUGGGCCUUUACUGACGCUGAGGCACGAAAGCGUGGGGAGCAAACAGGAUUAGAUACCCUGGUA
Molecule: ribosomal RNA, 458 nt
Filed under: uncultured Anaerovibrio sp.
Lineage: Bacteria; Bacillati; Bacillota; Negativicutes; Selenomonadales; Selenomonadaceae
Description: partial 16S ribosomal RNA
Rfam family: Bacterial small subunit ribosomal RNA
Source: RNAcentral